RNAcentral lists this ribosomal RNA (253 nucleotides) under uncultured bacterium. RNAcentral describes it as "partial 16S ribosomal RNA". It matches the Rfam family "Bacterial small subunit ribosomal RNA", at positions 524 to 776 of the family's 1533-position model. The record is from RNAcentral.
UACGUAGGGGGCAAGCGUUGUCCGGAUUUAUUGGGCGUAAAGAGCGUGUAGGCGGCCAGGUAGGUCUGCUGUGAAAACUCGAGGCUCAACCUCGAGACGUCGGCGGAAACCAUCUGGCUAGAGUCCGGAAGAGGAGAGUGGAAUUCCUGGUGUAGCGGUGAAAUGCGCAGAUAUCAGGAGGAAUACCGGUGGCGAAGGCGGCAUCCUGGACCGAGAUUGACACUGAUGAGCGCAAGCUAGGGGAGCAAACGGG